UCACUUACCUGGACGGGGUCAAUGGUUGAUCAAGAAGGUCCAUGGCCUAAGUUGGCGACCUCCAUUGCACUCAGGAGGGGCGUUAGCUUAAGGUCGGCCCAAGUGGUCGAGCCUACGUCAUAAUUUGUGCUAGUGGGGGCCUGCGUUCGCGCGGCCCCCGU
Lactuca sativa (garden lettuce) is the source of this 161-nucleotide small nuclear RNA. RefSeq annotates it as U1 spliceosomal RNA. NCBI's taxonomy places the organism in Eukaryota, Viridiplantae, Streptophyta, Magnoliopsida, Asterales, Asteraceae. The record is from RefSeq and is a predicted model, not a curated record.